GAGAUUCCGUAGGUGAGCACGAGGACACAUAAACCGUGAGUAAUUUUUGUCGAAACUUGAAAAAAAAAUACAAAACUUUCAACAACGGAUCUCUUGGUUCUCGCAUCGAUGAAGAGCGCAGCGAAAUGCGAUACCUAGUGUGAAUUGCAGCCAUCGUGAAUCAUCGAGUUCUUGAACGCACAUUGCGCCCGUCGGUAUUCCGGCGGGCAUGCCUGUCUGAGCGUCGUUUCCUUCUUGGAACUUUUGUUAAAGAAAGAUCCAGAGCUGGCCGUGCCACUGGCCCGGCCGAAAAGAAACGUUGCGGACGAAGCGAACUACAUCGGGACGCUUUGGCCGCCGAGCGAAAAUAUAUCAUUGAGCUCGACCUCAGAUCAGGUAGGAGUACCCGCUGAACUUAAGCAUAUCAAUAAGCGGAGGAAAAAA
Molecule: ribosomal RNA, 423 nt
Filed under: Pichia manshurica
Lineage: Eukaryota; Fungi; Ascomycota; Pichiomycetes; Pichiales; Pichiaceae
Description: eukaryotic LSU rRNA
Rfam family: 5.8S ribosomal RNA (bases 74-226)
Source: RNAcentral